AACCCCUGUGACAUACCAAUUGUUGCCUCGGCGGAUCAGCCCGCUCCCGGUAAAACGGAACGGCCCGCCAGAGGACCCCUAAACUCUGUUUCUAUAUGUAACUUCUGAGUAAAACCAUAAAUAAAUCAAAACUUUCAACAACGGAUCUCUUGGUUCUGGCAUCGAUGAAGAACGCAGCAAAAUGCGAUAAGUAAUGUGAAUUGCAGAAUUCAGUGAAUCAUCGAAUCUUUGAACGCACAUUGCGCCCGCCAGUAUUCUGGCGGGCAUGCCUGUUCGAGCGUCAUUUCAACCCUCAAGCCCCCGGGUUUGGUGUUGGGGAUCGGCGAGCCUCACGGCAAGCCGGCCCCGAAAUACAGUGGCGGUCUCGCUGCAGCUUCCAUUGCGUAGUAGUAAAACCCUCGCAACUGGUACGCGGCGCGGCCAAGCCGUUAAACCCCCAACUUCUGAAUGUUGACCUCGGAUCAGGUAGGAAUACCCGCUGAACUUAAG
This 489-nucleotide ribosomal RNA is filed under the name Fusarium oxysporum f. sp. lycopersici. Its description in RNAcentral is "eukaryotic LSU rRNA". The stretch from base 130 to 283 matches the Rfam family "5.8S ribosomal RNA". Lineage: Eukaryota; Fungi; Ascomycota; Sordariomycetes; Hypocreales; Nectriaceae. The record is from RNAcentral.